GAUGAAGAACGCAGCGAACUGCGAUAAGUAAUGUGAAUUGCAGAAUUUUGUGAAUCAUCGAAUCUUUGAACGCAAAUGGCACUCCCCGGCAAUCCGGAGAGUAUGCUUGUUUGAGGGUCAGCAAAAACAAUCACGGAUUCAUAUUCUGUGGAAUUGGGCGUUUCAAGGGAUCUAGGUCCGUAUUGAUCGCCUAAAAAUAAUUUUUGGUUCUUCUGAAGUGAACUAAUCUAUGGAUCGCUGACGAUGAACCGGUAACGCAUUAUGGUCAUUCAUUAUGAUGAUAACGAAUGAUUCAUAUGCAUAUUCCAUUAAAUGACCUCAAAUCAAGUAAGAUUACCCGCUGAACUUAAGCAUAUCAAUAAACGGAGGA
RNAcentral lists this unclassified non-coding RNA (370 nucleotides) under soil metagenome. RNAcentral's name for it is "partial contains 5.8S ribosomal RNA, internal transcribed spacer 2, and large subunit ribosomal RNA". The stretch from base 1 to 120 matches the Rfam family "5.8S ribosomal RNA", at positions 35 to 154 of the family's 154-position model. The record is from RNAcentral.